CUUAGUAACUUGUAUAUUUCCUAUUCGGUCACGCGGAUUGAUCGCCGUGACCGGUGCAGAGGAAAAUAAGGGAUAUGUAGCUUCCCCGUAGCUUCCAUGUCCGCCCUCUUUCAGACUUGGGAUCGGGGUUCGGGGCUAGGUGUCGGGGGUGCGGGGAGCGAGGAGGGAGGGAGUAGGCGGCGGCGCGAGGGAGGGUGGAGGAGGAGGAGGAGGAGGAAGACGCAGGAUCCUCAGGGUCGGCUGCUGACGACGAGGAGGUGGCGGAGCGGAGAAGGAGGAGGAGCGGCAGGGUAGCGAGCGCGCGUCCGGCAGCACCGGUGCGCGAAGUGGCCCGCUUGGGCUAGAGGUGACGGACGAGGCCCAAGCGCGCCCUGCCCGAGGGGGCGGAGGAGGAGGAGCGCCGCCUCCUGCUGCGGAGACCUCACUUCCUCCCACGGGUUUGGUACCAGCUCGACUGCCAACCCCGGCCCAGUUCCGACGACAACCGCCGGACCUACGUCCGCUACCACCGCCGGUCGCCCCCAGACCGCCCGCACCGCCGGCUGGCCAGGUCGUCGCUGGAACUACCUCCUCUUCCCUAGACCUCCCGUACCGCCGCCGAUCUUCCCGUCGUCGUCGGUCUCCCCGCAGUUGGCCAGGUCGUCGCUGGAACUGCCUCCUCUUCCCGGUCCGUCCUAAGCACGGGGACGUGGAAGUCCCUUUCUCGAAGAAGGACCUAGUGGUUUGACAUCGUCUAGUACACUACAAUUCGUACUCCUUUGACGCCUUCUCCUCUCACUACUACUGUGUAUACGACUGAAGAUGAUGACGGUGAGUUCCCGGCGCUUGUCUGAUGAACUGCUGCUUUUUGUACUUUAUUAGCCCAACCGAAGUUAGGUUGGUCCGUUAGGUCGUAAGUACUGUAAAGACGAUUCCAGGGUAGACGUUGCGUUCCUGUUGAAAGACCAGUAGGGGUCACUUAAACAUCUACUUGUAGAGGUGUACUCUAAUGUACUCCAACACGACGAGUCCGGUUUGUCUCUUCUCUCCACCGUACAGUCGAUGAUGGUGGUCCCCUCGAGAUCGUCUCCGAAGUCCCCGGUUGGAACCCGGUUCAAGCAGUCGCUGUUGUUUGACGUGUUCCCCCUAUAGACGCAGAAGCUCGACUAGUUACCGCGCUCCUUACUCUUCUUCCGGUCCUGCUGCUACUGGCAGGUACAACAAUCCUCCUUGUUCAGGCUGCACAUCUAUACCCGUUCACCGCCGUCGACCUUCCCUUCGUCGUCGGACACCCCACAACUGGCCAGGUCGUCGCUGGAACUACCUCCUCUUCCCGCUCCGUCCUAAGCACGGGGACGUGGAGGUCCUGAUACGGUAACCGUGAAAGUUGUAGAUCGUCAUUCUCUUGACCGGGGUUAAUCAUGUACCGAGUAUUAAAUAAGUCCAUGAAGAUUCCAUUUGUAAGUAGAAGAUCGGUACAAGCAGUUUUAUACUACGUCUGAACACGGAUAACCCCAAUCAAGGAUGGAAUCAAGAAACAGAAUGACAGCACCCAACACCGAGUCACCUAAUACUUCGAUAAGAAUCCACGAACUUAAUAUAAAAGACGAUGUAAAAUCGGAAUUCAAGAAGCACGAACUUCGACAUACCAGAUCGAUACAAUUUUCCUAUUGUACGGUCACGGACCCACAAAUAUCAUCACAAACAAUGAGACUUUAGCUUAUAAGGCACACACAAUGACGAAAGCUAAUUUACAGAAAGGUAAACCAAAGUGAAACUAAUACAAAAACACGUUUAGGAAACAACCAACUCGAUAACCACUUAGAUCUACGAUACCUAUUACAGACUAAAGGGGUAGGACAUGAUGAAUGAUAUACCUCCGUUACCAAAUUAAACCAGAGCGAAACUAAGAUAAUGUUGAUUCCUGGCCAAGCCGUUAGGUGGCCGAGGAACUUUAGGAUCCUAGACAUCUCGUCGACAAACGAGUGAGAUAUAAAAAGUCAGUUACGUACGGCUCAGGUGAAGAUUGACUUAUACGGGACAAAAGAAACUUUAACUUAUUGCUACCAACUUUAAAUCAAAGCAAACCUGCUCGAUGGGGUUCAUAGUAGUUAAGUACUACCGAUUAAACAAAACUAAGAACUACUUAGCUAGGACCAGGACUAAAUUAUCAAAAAUACAAUAAAGAGCCGAAUAAACUCGAUAAUAACAAAGACAAAUUGUGUCUGUUAAUAUUGACGGGAAAAAAUAAGUCUUUUUACCAGAACUACAGACACCAAACCAAUUUGUAAAAGAGUCGUAUAGAUAUAAGCAGUCAGAUUGAGUGCAUUGUAAGUUAUAUUAAACAGGCUAGGUUUGAUUCACAACCAACAACGAUACCAAACACACGUCAGAUAAAAGAAACUAGAACCAGUAAUUUAUACACUGUUCUUUCUUUAAAGUUUUCCAAACUACUAGAUCUUACGAGUAUACCUCAAUAAACUUGGUCAAGAAAAUCAUAUAUAACUCUGGUCUACAUGGCCUUUUUAAAUUUUAUAUAGUUGUCAUCCUCAACUGGUUAUUACGACUUAACUAAGUCAGAAAUCCGGAAUACGUGUUAAAGGUGUUACAACUUGUAUUAUAUACGAAAUUACGAGGACACGUGACGAAAUUACGAAGAUGAACAAACAGACUAAAAACAACAACAAGUAAUUAAAGGACAGAAGUCCGACAUAUUUUUUUACAAGGAUGAUCCAUAAGACUGCAACUAAUAGAUUUUCUUUCUCGUUAAGAUUGUGGUUGCUUGCCUCAUCGAGUUUUUUAUUUGCUCACACAAGAUAGAAAUCACGGAUGGUCGCUCUCUCUCAGGAAAGACUUUUCGAAGGCCUGCUAUACUCGCGAUUUUUCGAGGUCGAACAACAACUGCGACAACCUGAACCAUUCGAACUACUUCGGCUCCAGGUAUUCUUUUUAUAAUAUGGCAAUAGGAUAUGGCCACCCGCAGCGACAUAUUGACUUUUGAAGGUGCGGCACUACUGAUAAAGGGUACAGGUUCGGAGCGGACUAUAUUAGUGUUGGAAGUGUUGGAAGUGCACAUUAGGUUUCACCGGACUUUAUUACCUCAGAACUUGGACCCGUUUUUUAUCAGCUAUCCCGACUAUAAUGACAAACUCAUAUAGUGUACUUUGACGAACUCAUGGAUGUCUUCUAGUUCUGGCCUUUAUACAAACCCUGACAUCAAGGUCCAUGGUACGGGUUACGUAAAAGAGAGGAAAGAAACAAAAAGAAUGGGUACAAAGAAUAAAAAGUACAAAAAGUAAAUGGGAGGACAAAAGGUCAAGAGAUGUGGUCUCAAGUUUUUCUCCCCAGAAGGUGUGGGUACGCAGGAACAAACCGUUCACUUUCUACUACUGACCCACCAGUGUGGUUGAAUGGUAUUUAAGAACACAAAGUUGAUGAGAAUCAUAAAGAUAACCUAAAUGGCAGGAGAAAUAACAAAAAAAGAGAACGUACCAAGGGUUACUAAUCGAACUGAGACAGUAUCCCUAGAAUUGAUCGGCCGCAACGACGAUACGUGAAUGAUUGUGGUACCUUUGACCUUAACGAGUCGGUGGAUCCUAAUUCUCCAUGCUGGAGAGAUCCGUUACUUCGCAUCAAGGGACAAUCGAUGGUUAGGUCUGACCUUUAUGUACGUACGUUUAGUAUUUUGUUUUGUCAUUAUUCUUUGGGAUACGUUAGUUCGAAGACAAGAAUAUCGUUAAUGUUAAAACUAUGGAGAUAAAGAAAUACAGUAGAACAACCCAAAGACAAAGAGAAGUAUAUCCUAUGACUAUACACUAAGAGUACACUAGGAAAACGACCUUCGAACGAUUAGAAUCCCCACGACGAUGACCACAUUUUUUACAAAAUAGCUUUCUUGAUUUCAUCAUCGAUUAGGUUCGUAACUUCUUCACUGCGUCUCCGAUGUGAUAUAACCGUACUUCAGUCUCGUCGCAAACUUCUGAUGUGUUCUAUCAUACCAUUGGUUAUCUCGGUAGAAAACAAAGCAUAGUUCGCUAGGUCAUAGAAACGGGAAAACCGCAACGAGAUUCGCUCUAUACAUAUUGGAAAUCUAAAGGUAAACACAUACUAUGACGUACAUGUGAAAUCCGGAGUAAUGACAGUUCGAACACUAGUGAACAAGAUAUAUACAUUAGUUGACGGGAAGAGUGGGCGUUUUCUUUGUGACGGCAACAUGAUUAUAAAAGUUUUCUGAUAAAUAUAUACAAAUGUGACCAAUCUCUUUU
RNAcentral lists this ribosomal RNA (4244 nucleotides) under Triticum aestivum (bread wheat). RNAcentral's name for it is "partial small subunit ribosomal RNA". The record is from RNAcentral. Lineage: Eukaryota; Viridiplantae; Streptophyta; Magnoliopsida; Poales; Poaceae.